UGGCGCAGCGGGCGCUCACCGCGCUGAGGGGCUGCACCGCUGUCUCGUUCGACCUUUGCAACAGCCUCAUGAAAUAGGUACUGUGACCACCACCCCCAUUUUACAUGGUGGGAAACUGAGGCACAGACAGACAGAAGUAAACAUGCAGAGUGACGCACAGACGGCAGCUUUGAACCUGGGCCGCCUGGCUCGACAGUCCCUGAUCCUGCGCCCUGGAGCCGGCGCGGCCGAGACUAUCCCCCAGCGUGGCUCCUCGUCAACACCCACGGGGCUUGUCUGGACCAGGCCUCACCCACCAGCUCUCUCAGCCGAGGAUUCAAAGCCAGGUCCCCCACCCCAAUACUAAGAGCCUCAUCUCGGCACCCCACUAUUGGACUGGAGGCCCAGGCUCCAGGGGGCCCAGCCGGUCCAGGGCCAUGGGCAGUGCCCAGCUAACCCAGCGCCCCUGCCCAGCCAGAGUGGCGGCGGGUCUCGGUGCCCCUGCCGGGUCCCAGGCCACAGGCGUGAAGCCCCACUCCGAUGCCUCAGCUUUAGCACCAACAGCCACUGCAAACGUCCAGGCUACACCCGGGGCCGGCUGCCAGCAGCGUGCCUCCCCUUCUGGCCUGGGGCUCGGCGGGGGGGGCAGGCAGGGGAGCAGGGCUGGCCACCACGGGCCGUGGGCCAGCUGCCACGGUGCUGUGAUUGGCAAAACAGUACUCUCUGCCAAAAAAGUGGCGUGGGUGCGGGCAUUGCUCUGUGCCCGGCUUCCUCCUGGGCCACUGCUCACAUGGGCGUGAGGCUCCUGACCCUAUCAGCAACACCCUGGCUUCAGCCCGGCUACCUGGAAGUUCUUUUGUUCUGAGGACUCUCUGUACGGCUGGCUGGUUCGAGGGUGGCCCUGGGAACAUGGGAAAGGGUGGCCACGCACGCAAGCCCAGGAAGGAGGCUGCCAGCAAAACGGCUCACGUGGGUGUGAGGACGAGAGACCAGGUGCUCUCGCACACGCCGUGGCCCCUCGGCCGCUGGGACUGGGACCGCUGGACGUCCCAGGAGGGAUGAGCUGGCAGCUCUGCGCUCCGGUGUCAGCCACAGCCGCCCCGAGCUCUGCUCAGGAGGGGUUUCCGCGAGGGACAUUUCAGUGGCUGUUCUGCCUCAGACUUGGAGUAAAACAUUUUCCAUAAACGUUUGAUGCCCUGAUA
This is a long non-coding RNA of Microcebus murinus (gray mouse lemur), 1181 nucleotides long. RefSeq lists it as uncharacterized. The record is from RefSeq and is a predicted model, not a curated record. NCBI's taxonomy places the organism in Eukaryota, Metazoa, Chordata, Mammalia, Primates, Cheirogaleidae.